This 457-nucleotide ribosomal RNA is filed under the name uncultured bacterium. Its description in RNAcentral is "bacterial SSU rRNA". It matches the Rfam family "Bacterial small subunit ribosomal RNA", at positions 29 to 521 of the family's 1533-position model. The record is from RNAcentral.
AACGAACGCUGGCGGCAUGCCUAACACAUGCAAGUCGAACGGGAUCCAGGCUUCGGCCUGGUGAGAGUGGCGGACGGGUGAGUAACACGUGGGAACCUGCCUUUUGGUUCGGGAUAACCGCGGGAAACUGCGGCUAAUACCGAAUGCUCCCGAGAGGGGAAAGAUUUAUCGCCAGAAGAGGGGCCCGCGUCCGAUUAGGUAGUUGGUGGGGUAAUGGCCUAUCAAGCCGACGAUCGGUAGCUGGUCUGAGAGGAUGAUCAGCCACACUGGGACUGAGAUACGGCCCAGACUCCUACGGGAGGCAGCAGUGGGGAAUAUUGGACAAUGGGGGCAACCCUGAUCCAGCAAUGCCGCGUGAGUGAUGAAGGCCUUAGGGUUGUAAAGCUCUUUUGCCAGGGAAGAUGAUGACUGUACCUGGAGAAUAAGCCCCGGCUAACUUCGUGCCAGCAGCCGCGGU